RNAcentral lists this transfer RNA (66 nucleotides) under Charybdis japonica (shore swimming crab). RNAcentral describes it as "tRNA-Tyr". It matches the Rfam family "tRNA". From Rfam's summary of the family: Transfer RNA (tRNA) molecules are approximately 80 nucleotides in length. Their secondary structure includes four short double-helical elements and three loops (D, anti-codon, and T loops). Lineage: Eukaryota; Metazoa; Arthropoda; Malacostraca; Decapoda; Portunidae. The record is from RNAcentral.
AAUAAGGUGGCCGAGGUUUAGGCGUUAGAUUGUAAAUCUAAGAACGAGCUAUUAGCUCUCUUAUUA